GACGAACGCUGGCGGCGUGCCUAAUACAUGCAAGUUGAGCGCUGAAGGUUGGUACUUGUACCGACUGGAUGAGCAGCGAACGGGUGAGUAACGCGUGGGGAAUCUGCCUUUGAGCGGGGGACAACAUUUGGAAACGAAUGCUAAUACCGCAUAAAAACUUUAAACACAAGUUUUAAGUUUGAAAGAUGCAAUUGCAUCACUCAAAGAUGAUCCCGCGUUGUAUUAGCUAGUUGGUGAGGUAAAGGCUCACCAAGGCGAUGAUACAUAGUCGACCUUAGAGGGUGAUCGGCCAAAAUGGGACUGAGACACGGCCCAAACUCCUAAGGGAGGCAGCAGUAGGGAAUCUUCGGCAAUGGACGAAAGGCUGACCGAGAAACGCCGCGUGAGUGAAGAAGGGUUUCGGAUCGUAAAACUCGGUUGGUAGAGAAGAAAGUUGGCGAGAGUGGAAAGCUCAUCAAGUGACGGUAACUACCCAGAAAGGGACGGCUAACUACGUG
Molecule: ribosomal RNA, 497 nt
Filed under: uncultured bacterium
Lineage: Bacteria
Description: partial 16S ribosomal RNA
Rfam family: Bacterial small subunit ribosomal RNA
Source: RNAcentral